This 490-nucleotide ribosomal RNA is filed under the name uncultured bacterium. RNAcentral describes it as "partial 16S ribosomal RNA". It matches the Rfam family "Bacterial small subunit ribosomal RNA", at positions 30 to 507 of the family's 1533-position model. The record is from RNAcentral.
AUUGAACGCUGGCGGCAGGCCUAACACAUGCAAGUCGAACGGUAACAGGAAACAGCUUGCUGUUUCGCUGACGAGUGGCGGACGGGUGAGUAAUGUCUGGGAAACUGCCUGAUGGAGGGGGAUAACUACUGGAAACGGUAGCUAAUACCGCAUAACGUCGCAAGACCAAAGAGGGGGACCUUCGGGCCUCUUGCCAUCGGAUGUGCCCAGAUGGGAUUAGCUAGUAGGUGGGGUAACGGCUCACCUAGGCGACGGUCCCUAGCUGGUCUGAGAGGAUGACCAGCCACACUGGAACUGAGACACGGUCCAGACUCCUACGAGAGGCAGCAGUGGGGAAUAUUGCACAAUGGGCGCAAGCCUGAUGCAGCCAUGCCGCGUGUAUGAAGAAGGCCUUCGGGUUGUAAAGUACUUUCAGCGGGGAGGAAGGGAGUAAAGUUAAUACCUUUACUCAUUGACGUUACCCGCAGAAGAAGCACCGGCUAACUCCGUG